GGACAAUCUUGAAAGGAACUUCGCUGUAAGGAGAGGGAAAAAUAGAAAGAAAAGAAGAAAAACUAAAAAGCUACUGGCUCACAUGGAGUAAACGGUACUCACAUGAACCCACAAACCCAUGUGGUCCAUUUCAAAAAGAGUGGUGAAAGUCACAUGACCACAGAAGGAAGACAGACACACUGGGACACACUUUACCAGAUGACUCCCUUCAUAGUGGG
Long non-coding RNA from Carassius gibelio (silver crucian carp), 218 nucleotides. RefSeq lists it as uncharacterized. The transcript has 3 exons. Lineage: Eukaryota; Metazoa; Chordata; Actinopteri; Cypriniformes; Cyprinidae. The record is from RefSeq and is a predicted model, not a curated record.